AACGAACGCUGGCGGCAUGCCUAACACAUGCAAGUCGAACGAGACCUUCGGGUCUAGUGGCGCACGGGUGCGUAACGCGUGGGAACCUGCCCUUAGGUUCGGAAUAACUCCCCGAAAGGGGUGCUAAUACCGGAUAAUGUCUUCGGACCAAAGAUUUAUCGCCUUUGGAUGGGCCCGCGUUGGAUUAGCUAGUUGGUAGGGUAAAAGCCUACCAAGGCGACGAUCCAUAGCUGGUCUGAGAGGAUGAUCAGCCACACUGGGACUGAGACACGGCCCAGACUCCUACGGGAGGCAGCAGUGGGGAAUAUUGGACAAUGGGCGAAAGCCUGAUACAGCAAUGCCGCGGGAGUGAUGAAGGCCUUAGGGUUGUAAAGCUCUUUUACCCGGGAUGAGAAUGACAGUACCGGGAGAAUAAGCUCCGGCUAACUCCGUG
This 433-nucleotide ribosomal RNA is filed under the name uncultured bacterium. Its description in RNAcentral is "partial 16S ribosomal RNA". It matches the Rfam family "Bacterial small subunit ribosomal RNA", at positions 29 to 507 of the family's 1533-position model. The record is from RNAcentral.